This 373-nucleotide ribosomal RNA is filed under the name uncultured organism. RNAcentral's name for it is "bacterial SSU rRNA". It matches the Rfam family "Bacterial small subunit ribosomal RNA", at positions 526 to 896 of the family's 1533-position model. The record is from RNAcentral.
CGUAGGUGGCAAGCGUUGUCCGGAAUUAUUGGGCGUAAAGCGCGCGCAGGCGGUCCUUUAAGUCUGAUGUGAAAGCCCACGGCUCAACCGUGGAGGGUCAUUGGAAACUGGGGGACUUGAGUACAGAAGAGAAGAGUGGAAUUCCACGUGUAGCGGUGGAAAUGCGUAGAGAUGUGGAGGAACACCAGUGGCGAAGGCGACUCUUUGGUCUGUAACUGACGUUGAGGCGCGAAAGCGUGGGGAGCAAACAGGAUUAGAUACCCUGGUAGUCCACGCCGUAAACGAUGAGUGCUAAGUGUUAGAGGGUUUCCGCCCUUUAGUGCUGCAGCAAACGCAUUAAGCACUCCGCCUGGGGAGUACGGCCGCAAGGCUG